RNAcentral lists this transfer RNA (59 nucleotides) under Algoriphagus zhangzhouensis. RNAcentral's name for it is "Algoriphagus sp. 12C11 tRNA". It matches the Rfam family "tRNA", at positions 8 to 63 of the family's 71-position model. From Rfam's summary of the family: Transfer RNA (tRNA) molecules are approximately 80 nucleotides in length. Lineage: Bacteria; Pseudomonadati; Bacteroidota; Cytophagia; Cytophagales; Cyclobacteriaceae. The record is from Rfam by way of RNAcentral.
UAGCUCAGCUGGUUAGAGCACAUGACUGUUAAUCAUGGGGUCCUUGGUUCGAGCCCAAG